CAUACGUGCUGGUUCUGUGUCUUUGAUAGCUGUCAUUUUCUCAUCUCGACAACGUUUAGUGUGGGACUCUUGGCGAUGAACAAAACAGCGCCAAACCCAGUUUACCCUGUCCACCGCCUCAACCAGUUCAACGAAAUCUGGCUACUAGUUCCAUAGAACCACCGCCAGCUUCCAAUUCACUCAGUCCACGGACUCCACCAAUUAACCAAAUCUGGCUACUCACUUCAUAUCACACGCCGACGUACCAGCAGUACAUCCGCGUCGUUUUCGAUAACUAUAUUUACGGAAGAUCUUCAGAGGUUGAUCAGAGCCGAUUACCAAUUUGCUGCUACUCUAAACCUUCUCAGCGGCGUUCGCCACUAAUAGUUACACAGAUAUGCAGAGAGUCACGCAGUAUUUCUUGGAUUUCAUUGAUCACAGCGAGCAUGGUGAUAGCUAUCAAUCUGCUGCUUACAUGAUGCCAAAAAGAAAUUGGAAUAGCAAAACAAAUCAGAUGGUACCCGACCAAAGUGAAAGGGUCCACAUCAGAAAAAUGCAUCGCUCUGAUGGUUUUCUGCCCACAUGCUAAUGCUGACUGCAUCAAUCUGCAUCCAAUUCAUAUGUAGAACGUCAAACACUCCUCUCCUGUUUUCGAACGUAGCUCUGCGCUAAAGGGUCAUCAAGAUUAGAUGGGGCACCCUGUUCCUCUACUGAUUCACUAUGUCUCUGCAUUAUAGUCUCUACAAAGAAGACAACAUAUAGCAAAGAUAAUACGCCGAGACAUGGCACUCCUUGCUGGUUAUAGAUGGCAGGUACAACCUCUCCUGGUGCUUGGUCGGCCAGCCACAUCUUUUGCUUCGGCAGCCACCUCGCUCUUACAUGAAAUCUUGUUGGAUACUCUUUGCAUGAGGAUUCACCCGUCAGAAAAUCCUUCUCGUUGUCACGAUCCAUCCAUCGUAACAUAAUUGGCUCACCUGAGCUAAAUUAUAAAUUACCAAUGUGCAGUGAUGGAACCAGGAUUUCAAUGUCGGAUUCAUUGACAUUCAUACUAAAUUUUGUUGUUUCCCGAGUUAAAAAUGUUGGCAAAAUUUUGGAAAAAGUCUCUGUAUCGAAAUGGAGAAGUUUGCUGCAACUCCUUAACAAUAACAGCCGCAAACAUUUCAGCA
Molecule: long non-coding RNA, 1145 nt
Organism: Pyrus x bretschneideri (Chinese white pear)
Lineage: Eukaryota; Viridiplantae; Streptophyta; Magnoliopsida; Rosales; Rosaceae
Exons: 3
Source: RefSeq, a predicted model, not a curated record